AACGAACGCUGGCGGCAGGCCUAACACGUGCAAGUCGAACGGUUGUAGCAAUACAGCCGUGGCGCACGGGUGAGUAACGCGUGGGAAUCUGCCCAGUAGUACGGAAUAACAGUUGGAAACGACUGACAAUACCGUAUACGCCCUUCGGGGGAAAGUUUUUCGCUAUUGGAUGAGCCCGCGUCAGAUUAGCUAGUUGGUGGGGUAAUGGCCUACCAAGGCGACGAUCUGUAGCUGUUCUGAGAGGAAGACCAGCCACACUGGAACUGAGACACGGUCCAGACGCCUACGGGAGGCAGCAGUGGGGAAUAUUGGACAAUGGGCGAAAGCCUGAUCCAGCCAUGCCGCGUGAGUGAUGAAGGCCUUAGGGUUGUAAAGCUCUUUUGGCGGGGAAGAUAAUGACGGUACCCGCAGAAUAAGUUCCGGCUAACUUCGUGCCAGCCGCCGCGGUAA
RNAcentral lists this ribosomal RNA (450 nucleotides) under uncultured bacterium. RNAcentral describes it as "partial 16S ribosomal RNA". It matches the Rfam family "Bacterial small subunit ribosomal RNA", at positions 29 to 523 of the family's 1533-position model. The record is from RNAcentral.